This is a non-coding RNA of Podarcis lilfordi (Lilford's wall lizard), 77 nucleotides long. NCBI's taxonomy places the organism in Eukaryota, Metazoa, Chordata, Lepidosauria, Squamata, Lacertidae. The record is from the annotation of a GenBank genome assembly.
ACCCAGCUGGAUAGCCUAGUGGGUAGAGCACGAGACUUGUAGCCUCAGGGUCGUGGGUUAGAGCCCCACAUUGGGCA